Molecule: non-coding RNA, 143 nt
Organism: Gossypium arboreum
Lineage: Eukaryota; Viridiplantae; Streptophyta; Magnoliopsida; Malvales; Malvaceae
Source: Rfam
UGUUAGAAAUUCCAUCUACUUGUACUGUUAAAAACUAGUGUGGCUAGAAGAAUAAUCAAACAGCAACACAUGGCGUGCCAUGUGUACUCAUGCUGACAUACAUGGACCAAAUUUUAAUAGUAGAAUUGAUGGAAUUUUUAACA